UACGGAGGGGGCUAGCGUUGUUCGGAAUUACUGGGCGUAAAGGGCGCGUAGGCGGCAAUUCAAGUCAUCUGUGAAAUCUCUGGGCUUAACCCAGAACGGCCAGGUGAUACUGCUUUGCUAGAGUGCGGAAGGGGCAAUCGGAAUUCUUGGUGUAGCGGUGAAAUGCGUAGAUAUCGUGAGGAACACCAGAGGCGAAGGCGGUUACCUGGACAGUUACUGACACUCAGGCACGAAAGCAUGGGGAGCAAAAGGG
This 253-nucleotide ribosomal RNA is filed under the name uncultured bacterium. RNAcentral describes it as "partial 16S ribosomal RNA". It matches the Rfam family "Bacterial small subunit ribosomal RNA", at positions 524 to 776 of the family's 1533-position model. The record is from RNAcentral.